RNAcentral lists this ribosomal RNA (328 nucleotides) under uncultured eukaryote. Its description in RNAcentral is "partial 18S ribosomal RNA". It matches the Rfam family "Eukaryotic small subunit ribosomal RNA", at positions 1470 to 1796 of the family's 1831-position model. The record is from RNAcentral.
CCCUUAGAUGUCCGGGGCUGCACGCGCGCUACACUGAAGGAAUCAGCGUGCUAAAACCAUUGUCGAAAGGCAUUGGUAAACCCAUUAAAAUCCUACGUGAUUGGGAUCGGGAAUUGCAAUUAUUUCCCUUGAACGAGGAAUCCCCAGUAAGUGUGGGUCAUAAGCUCGCGUUGAUUACGUCCCUGCCCUUUGUACACACCGCCCGUCGCUGCCCGGGACUGAGCCGUUUCGAGAAAAGCGGGGACUGCUGCUGUCGGGGCUUUCGGGCCUUGGCUUCGGUGGAAACCGCUUUAAUCGCAGUGGCUUGAACCGGGCAAAAGUCGUAACA